GACGAACGCUGGCGGCGUGCCUAAUACAUGCAAGUAGAACGCACAGUUUAUACCGUAGCUUGCUACACCAUAAACUGUGAGUUGCGAACGGGUGAGUAACGCGUAGGUAACCUGCCUGGUAGCGGGGGAUAACUAUUGGAAACGAUAGCUAAUACCGCAUAAUAUUGAUUAUUGCUUGAUAAUUGAUUGAAAGAUGCUAUUGCAUCACUACCAGAUGGACCUGCGUUGUAUUAGCUAGUAGGUGAGGUAACGGCUCACCUAGGCGACGAUACAUAGCCGACCUGAGAGGGUGAUCGGCCACACUGGGACUGAGACACGGCCCAGACUCCUACGGGAGGCAGCAGUAGGGAAUCUUCGGCAAUGGACGAAAGUCUGACCGAGCAACGCCGCGUGAGUGAAGAAGGUUUUCGGAUCGUAAAGCUCUGUUGUAAGAGAAGAACGGGUGUGAGAGUGGAAAGUUCACACUGUGACGGUAUCUUACCAGAAAGGGACGGCUAACUACGUG
Molecule: ribosomal RNA, 505 nt
Filed under: uncultured bacterium
Lineage: Bacteria
Description: partial 16S ribosomal RNA
Rfam family: Bacterial small subunit ribosomal RNA
Source: RNAcentral